UUUUCAUUGGAUUAGUGUU
This 19-nucleotide microRNA is filed under the name Bombyx mori (domestic silkworm). RNAcentral's name for it is "bmo-miR-2742". The record is from miRBase by way of RNAcentral. Lineage: Eukaryota; Metazoa; Arthropoda; Insecta; Lepidoptera; Bombycidae.